CCGUACCUAUUCAGCCACCUAGUGCAGAUCUUCGAUUUGAAGCCAACACGUCUAUGUCAUCGGUUCUGCUGCUGCCGUUGGAACACGACCAGUCAGUUUCCACACCAAACGAGCAAAAAUCAACAGUUGGCCUACAUCAAACACCGGAUAAGCGGAAAACUGCAUCACCAUCCACAUCUCUAUCUCCC
Homalodisca vitripennis (glassy-winged sharpshooter) is the source of this 188-nucleotide long non-coding RNA. RefSeq lists it as uncharacterized. The transcript is spliced from 3 exons. Lineage: Eukaryota; Metazoa; Arthropoda; Insecta; Hemiptera; Cicadellidae. The record is from RefSeq and is a predicted model, not a curated record.